This 627-nucleotide ribosomal RNA is filed under the name uncultured Delftia sp. RNAcentral's name for it is "bacterial SSU rRNA". It matches the Rfam family "Bacterial small subunit ribosomal RNA", at positions 1 to 649 of the family's 1533-position model. The record is from RNAcentral. Lineage: Bacteria; Pseudomonadati; Pseudomonadota; Betaproteobacteria; Burkholderiales; Comamonadaceae.
CGCCCUUAGAGUUUGAUCAUGGCUCAGAUUGAACGCUGGCGGCAUGCCUUACACAUGCAAGUCGAACGGUAGUCUUCGGACACGAGUGGCGAACGGGUGAGUAAUACAUCGGAACGUGCCCAGUCGUGGGGGAUAACUACUCGAAAGAGUAGCUAAUACCGCAUACGAUCUGAGGAUGAAAGCGGUUCGUCGCGCGAUUGGAGCGGCCGAUGGCAGAUUAGGUAGUUGGUGGGAUAAAAGCUUACCAAGCCGACGAUCUGUAGCUGGUCUGAGAGGACGACCAGCCACACUGGGACUGAGACACGGCCCAGACUCCUACGGGAGGCAGCAGUGGGGAAUUUUGGACAAUGGGCGAAAGCCUGAUCCAGCAAUGCCGCGUGCAGGAUGAAGGCCUUCGGGUUGUAAACUGCUUUUGUACGGAACGAAAAAGCUUCUCUAAUGAGAGGCCAUGACGGUACCGUAAGAAUAAGCACCGGCUAACUACGUGCCAGCAGCCGCGGUAAUACGUAGGGUGCGAGUGUUAAUCGGAAUUACGGGCGUAAGCGUGCGCAGGCGGUUAUGUAAGACAGAUGUGAAAUCCCCGGGCUCAACCUGGGAACUGCAUUUGUGACUGCAUGGCUAGAGUAC